GGGGAGACUCCCUCCCCAGUGUACGUUUUUUGAGUGCCGGGGGUGAGGUAUGUUGAAGAAUUCAACACAGCCUUUCAUCUUCUAGAAUUGCUUCUUCGGAGCUCUCUACCAGCUCUAGAAAUAUCUGUUAAAUUAAUUGUACCAUCAACCUUGGAGAGAAACCGCCAUAUAAAAAGUGUCAAGAGUCUUCAUCACCGACUUGGCCUAGCUUCUCUACACCGACUUUAGAGAAGCAUCUGGAGCCUCUCAUCACCGCCUACAAAAUUAGUAUGAAUAGAGUGUUGUGUGUGCUGUGUCCUGUAAAAAUCACGUGAAUGUGUGUGUGUUAAAGAGGGAAAUUCUUGUGUGUGUUAAUGUCUUGGUAUGAGUGAGCGGAAAUUACUGUCUUGCUG
This 392-nucleotide unclassified non-coding RNA is filed under the name Hevea brasiliensis (rubber tree). The record is from RNAcentral. Lineage: Eukaryota; Viridiplantae; Streptophyta; Magnoliopsida; Malpighiales; Euphorbiaceae.